AGUGAACGCUGGCGGUAGGCCUAACACAUGCAAGUCGAACGGCAGCACAGUAAGAGCUUGCUCUUACGGGUGGCGAGUGGCGGACGGGUGAGGAAUACAUCGGAAUCUACUUUUUCGUGGGGGAUAACGUAGGGAAACUUACGCUAAUACCGCAUACGACCUACGGGUGAAAGCAGGGGAUCUUCGGACCUUGCGCGAUUGAAUGAGCCGAUGUCGGAUUAGCUAGUUGGCGGGGUAAAGGCCCACCAAGGCGACGAUCCGUAGCUGGUCUGAGAGGAUGAUCAGCCACACUGGAACUGGGACACGGCCCAGACCCCUACGGGAGGCAGCAGUGGGGAAUAUUGGACAAUGGGCGCAAGCCUGAUCCAGCCAUACCGCGUGGGUGAAGAAGGCCUUCGGGUUGUAAAGCCCUUUUGUUGGGAAAGAAAAGCAGCAGGUUAAUACCCCGCUGUUCUGACGGUACCCAAAGAAUAAGCACCGGCUAACUUCGU
Molecule: ribosomal RNA, 491 nt
Filed under: uncultured bacterium
Lineage: Bacteria
Description: partial 16S ribosomal RNA
Rfam family: Bacterial small subunit ribosomal RNA
Source: RNAcentral